CCAAUAGCGUAUAUUAAAGUUGUUGCAGUUAAAAAGCUCGUAGUUGAAUUUUAGGCCUGGCCAGGCGGUCCGUCUUUGGCGAGUACUGUUCUGUGUCGGGUCUUACCUUCUGGUGAACCGGUAUGUCCUUAAUUGAGUGUACCGGGGAGCCAGGACCAUUACCUUGAAAAAAUUAGAGUGUUUAAAGCAGGCAUUUGCUUGAAUAGAUUAGCAUGGAAUAAUAGAAUAGGACGUUGGUUCUAUCUUGUUGGUCUGGACCACCGUAAUGAUUAAUAGGGAUAGUUGGGGGCAUUAGUAUUCAAUUGUCAGAGGUGAAAUUCUUGGAUUUAUUGAAGACUAACUAUUGCGAAAGCAUUUGCCAAGGAUGUUUUCAUUAAUCAAGAACGAAAGUUAGGGGAUCGAAGACGAUCAGAUACCGUCGUAGUCUUAACCAUAAACUAUGCCGACUAGGAAUCGGGCGACGCUAUUUUUAUGACUCGCUCGGCGCCUUAUGGGGUAAAUCU
This 503-nucleotide ribosomal RNA is filed under the name uncultured Glomeromycotina. RNAcentral describes it as "partial small subunit ribosomal RNA". It matches the Rfam family "Eukaryotic small subunit ribosomal RNA", at positions 591 to 1100 of the family's 1831-position model. Lineage: Eukaryota; Fungi; Glomeromycota. The record is from RNAcentral.